AGAAACUUAGGAUAGCCCCUUAAACCGAAGGCCUUCAAAGCCUUAAACAAGAGUUAAACCCUCUUAGUUUCUG
Molecule: transfer RNA, 73 nt
Filed under: Rhinoptilus africanus (double-banded courser)
Lineage: Eukaryota; Metazoa; Chordata; Aves; Charadriiformes; Glareolidae
Description: tRNA-Trp
Rfam family: tRNA
About the family: Transfer RNA (tRNA) molecules are approximately 80 nucleotides in length. Their secondary structure includes four short double-helical elements and three loops (D, anti-codon, and T loops).
Source: RNAcentral